AGCGAACGUUUGCGGCGGGCUUAACACAUGCAAGUCGAACGAGAAUCCCUUCGGGGAGGAAAGUGGCGCACGGGUGCGUAACACGUGGAUAACCAACCCAUUGGUUUGGGACAACACCGGGAAACUGGUGCUAAUACCAGAUGUGUCGCAGCUGUCUUCAGGCGGUUGCGAGAAAGGCCCGCAAGGGUCGCCAACGGACGGGUCCGCGUCCCAUCAGCUAGUUGGUGAGGUAAUGGCUCACCAAGGCAAAGACGGGUAGCUGGUCUGAGAGGAUGAUCAGCCACACUGGAACUGAGACACGGUCCAGACUCCUACGGGAGGCAGCAGUGGGGAAUAUUGCGCAAUGGGCGAAAGCCUGACGCAGCCACGCCGCGUGAGCGAUGAAGGUCUUCGGAUCGUAAAGCUCUGUGGGGGGAGAAGAAGAAAGCCGGUGAAGAGCCGGCCCUGACGGUAUCCCUUACGCAAGCACCGGCUAACUCCGUGCAGCAGCCGCGGUAAAGUAUCG
Molecule: ribosomal RNA, 505 nt
Filed under: uncultured bacterium
Lineage: Bacteria
Description: bacterial SSU rRNA
Rfam family: Bacterial small subunit ribosomal RNA
Source: RNAcentral